GUGCCAGCAGCCGCGGUAACACGGGGGGAGCGAGCGUUGUUCGGAAUCAUUGGGCGUAAAGAGCUCGUAGGCGGCUCCGUCAGUCGGGGGUGAAAGGCCAUGGCUCAACCAUGGAUACGCCUCUGAAACUACGGAACUUGAGAUCGGGAGAGGAAAGUGGAAUUCCUGGAGUAGCGGUGAAAUGCGUAGAUAUCAGGAGGAACACCAGUGGCGAAGGCGGCUUUCUGGCCCGAUUCUGACGCUGAGGAGCGAAAGCCAGGGGAGCGAACGGGAUUAGAAACCCGCGUAGUCC
RNAcentral lists this ribosomal RNA (292 nucleotides) under uncultured bacterium. RNAcentral describes it as "partial 16S ribosomal RNA". It matches the Rfam family "Bacterial small subunit ribosomal RNA", at positions 505 to 796 of the family's 1533-position model. The record is from RNAcentral.